RNAcentral lists this transfer RNA (72 nucleotides) under Heliconius melpomene (postman butterfly). Its description in RNAcentral is "tRNA HMEL008210". It matches the Rfam family "tRNA". From Rfam's summary of the family: Transfer RNA (tRNA) molecules are approximately 80 nucleotides in length. Their secondary structure includes four short double-helical elements and three loops (D, anti-codon, and T loops). Further hydrogen bonds mediate the characteristic L-shaped molecular structure. tRNAs have two regions of fundamental functional importance: the anti-codon, which is responsible for specific mRNA codon recognition, and the 3' end, to which the tRNAs corresponding amino acid is attached (by aminoacyl-tRNA synthetases). tRNAs cope with the degeneracy of the genetic code in two manners: having more than one tRNA (with a specific anti-codon) for a particular amino acid; and 'wobble' base-pairing, i.e. permitting non-standard base-pairing at the 3rd anti-codon position. Lineage: Eukaryota; Metazoa; Arthropoda; Insecta; Lepidoptera; Nymphalidae. The record is from RNAcentral.
AAACGUAUGGCUUAGUUGGUCAGAUUGCUUGGGCCGUUUCCAAGAGUGCGGGUUCAAAUCCCGCUACGUUCA